Paramuricea clavata is the source of this 386-nucleotide non-coding RNA. The record is from the annotation of a GenBank genome assembly. NCBI's taxonomy places the organism in Eukaryota, Metazoa, Cnidaria, Anthozoa, Malacalcyonacea, Plexauridae.
UUCUGCUCUGCACAUUGGCUGCAAAACAUCUCCAUCGGAAAUCAAGUUUACCCACCCUCCUCCCCGUUUUCUGGCGCAAUUCCUUUUGAUAUGUAUACUAGUUCUUAGUGGUGGGCGUUUGAAUUACCCCCACCUUUUCUGUGCGAACAAUUUUCUUAAUAAUUACUUUUACGAACAUUAGUUUCCUUAAUAAUUUGUUAUAUUAAUAAUUAUGUUAUUCAUUACAAAAAAAUAAUAAACCGGCAUGUGCUUAUAACGCACAUUGCCAUAAUUAUUCCAAUUGGUGUACGAUUGGUUUAUUGCGCAAAAGCCUACGCACAGAAAACAGAGCUCAUCAUAACAAGGAACUGACAGAGUAGAUUAGCAUGGAUUAAAUUUAAGGGAAG